Molecule: long non-coding RNA, 3067 nt
Filed under: Taeniopygia guttata (zebra finch)
Lineage: Eukaryota; Metazoa; Chordata; Aves; Passeriformes; Estrildidae
Description: lncRNA (ENSTGUG00000027992.1)
Source: RNAcentral
UUACUUUUUUCUUAAAGAUAUUUAUAUUUGAUAAGUCUUUUUUUUAUCAUUUGAGAAUUCCAAAUACCAAACAGCAAACUUGCAUUACAGAGUCACCCUGCGAUCACCUUGUCAUCUAGUAUCUAAAUGAUGAACUGUGUGUGCAUCUAAGAAAAUUACAUCUGCUAGCAUUGUGUGGAAAUGAUCUCCUGGCAUCCUGAUAAAAUGAUAUGUUGCUGCCGGUAAGAGGAAACGUUUUGAUGGAAGCAGCACGAGAAGCGUUAGAGACGGGCAGGGCUGUGGUACAUUAACAGAGAACAAAUUAAAAACCUACGGAAAUUUUUGUAUAGAGACACGUAUAUAAAAGUUUGCAUAGCGUUUCCUCCACAUUCCGCUUUGUCUUCCCAGUUCGUGUGGGAAUAGCUUAAAGAGAGAAAAACAGCUCAAGGAUGGGUUUCCCUUUGCUCCCCUCCACUUUUGAGGUGGAGCUAAGGGAAAUUCCUGUUACUUGCCUUGUUCUCAUCCCUUCCUCCCUCUUAACCCUCAGAGAGCUUCGUGACCGCUCCAGCGUGGCUCCUCAGCAGGUUUUGAGCCAGGCUGAGCCCUCCAGAUCAGCUGCCCCUCUUCUGUCCAUGGGGAGCAAACUGCUCCCCCACGUGCCGAGGAGAUCCUGUGCUCUCAGAGGGCACCGCCGUGCCACCCCUUUGUCCCUGGAAGAUCUAUAGGUAGGGCUUGGCCUCGCCUCCCACUUAUGGAUUUCAUUGGAGAAUUUAUGUGCUUUCCUUAGUUACAGAUCACUGGAGCAGAAUGAAGCCGUGUUUUUUUCCUGUUUUAUUGCAUUUCUUGAGUAGGCAAAUUCAUAAGUAGCGUCAGGGUGGACUCAGGAAAGGCAGGACUUGGAUCAGUGACCAUUGCACCACUGCAGUUAUUUUCUUACUGCCUGUAUGAAUGUUUUGGUACUUAGGAGUGAAAGGAUGGGAAGAGCUUUUAUUUCUAUUUUUGCACAGCAGAAUGAUCGAGCAAACUCGGCCUUAGUGGAAUUUUACCUACUUACUCAUUCCACAAGCUCAGUCACACACUGAGCUGACAAGCAACAUCCACGAUUUAUAGUAAGGAGAUUUUAAUAAUCGAUGACCUCUUUACAUUGGGCUUGCCACCACCAUUUGUUCUGGCUGUUUCAUUUUAAGAAGAACAGACUCAAACUGUUGGACAGCUGCAAUUCUAGAAGAAAUAUUGCUUAUUGCUUACUAUAGUAUCUGUAAAAAAAACAAAGGCAUUGUUUGAGGCUUUGCCUUUUUAAAGCAACAGGGAAGAAUAAAAAUAGUAUUAGAACUUCUGUAUCCUGAUUAUAGGUUCAUGUGAUGCAGGAUCAAAGUAGCACCACUGAAAUUGUGUGUCUGUACCAUCUAAUGUAGAAUAAUCUGGUCUUAAUUCUGUUUGUCACUGUCAGGAAUCUGCUGACAUCCCACGUCAGUAUCUUCUCUGAAGGUUAAACAGGUAAAAAAACCCUUGUGAGCAACUGGAGAUUGGCAGAUCUUCCUGGGCUGUAAAUACCCAGUUUUCUACCUUCCCAUAUUGUCAUCUUAGCAGACAAAAUAUCAAAUAUCUGGGGAAUCAACCCCUUGGUUCUGUGGGGUCAGUGUUUGGGGUGUGUCUGUUCUGGCUUCUCUUUGGGCAUCGGGAGGUACGAGGAACGAGUGGCACCUCAGAGGAACGAGUGACACCUCAGCUGUCCCCAGGCAGCCCAACCUGCUCCUGGCAGGUUGUUUCCAUCAUUCUGGAAGUUCAUCAGGAGCCAUUUGCAGCUGGUCAAUGCCUUUUUGGUUUGAGGUGAAUUACCUGUAACGGGACAGGUGCUGAUGUGAUGGUACCGAGAUGAGCGAAUGUGAUCUGGAGUAAGUGAAAGAAUCGGUGGAGGGUGAGUCCUGGAAUUCAGCAGUCCUGGAAUUCUUUCUUUUGGGGGUUUUUCCAUGGUAUGGGAGUUGUCUUUGUCUUUCUGUGUGUGGGCUGCCUUGGAAAUGAAGCCUCAUUUUGGUAGCACUGCAAUGGAGUGGCAGUUCGUUGUGGCCAGGCUGGAGUCACUGCAGUUUGUUCUCUUCCCGUGAAGUGGCUCUGGUGGCACAUCCGAGCUACCUUUUUGUUCUGUGAACAGAGAAGAAGUUAAUUUAAGAAGCUCCUCAUCUGUGAUGGUCACAGAUUGCUUUUACCUUUGUGGAGUGAGUUCUGGGUGAUAAUUUGUCCCUCAUAAACUCCUUUUACUUGAGUUGUUGUCUCUGACCAUCUUCUUAAAACAACAAUUUCUACCUCCACUGCUCUUCUGGAUUGUUUUGGUGUUGGGUUUUUCUUUAGUUCCCCCACCAUUUUUCCUGAAGUAUGAGAUCCCAAACAUUUGCAAAAGCCUUAUGAGUUGAUAAAAAUCAGCAGAUUUGUUUUCUGUUGAUCUUCUGAAUACCCUAUAGACACACGUGUGGUUAUAGCGAAGUCCUGUGCUGGGUGUGAGUCUGAAGUGCACCCUUGCAGCAAUUAAGGAAUCUCAUUAAGAGCCUUCAGGAGGUCAUGGAAAGGGUUUAGACCCCUCUGUGCAUCAUUUGUGGGGCCAUUGCGUGGGCAGAUGGUAGGGCUGGAGCCCAUUCACACAGUGGGAGAUUGCAGGAGCUGGGAUUGUCCAGGCUGGCUCUGGGGACAUCCCAGAUUUUGGGUUUUAACUGUUUUAAUGAAUUAGUUUUAACUUGGGGGUCCAGUGCAGGAUCAGGAGUUGGACUUUGAUGAUCUUUGUGGGUCCCUUCCAACUCAGGAUGUUCUGUGAUUCCAGAGAAGACAGAGCCAGGCUCUUCUCAGAGGUGCCCAGCAAAACCCUGAGGGGCAGAGGACUAGAGCUGCAUGAAGGAAAAUCCCAGAUGAAUUUAAAUAGAAGUGUUUUCAUGCUCAGUGGUAGAAAUGGCCCAGAAAGUCAGUGAAAUUCCCAUCCUUGGGGAUACUCAAAAUUCAACUGGAUGGACAGGGUUGGAUUAGAGACCUCCAGAGGUCUCUUCUGACUGAAAUUAUUCUCUGAUUCUGUGCAAACCUGCUCAGGCUGAGGUGUUCCCUA